This 482-nucleotide ribosomal RNA is filed under the name uncultured bacterium. Its description in RNAcentral is "bacterial SSU rRNA". It matches the Rfam family "Bacterial small subunit ribosomal RNA", at positions 34 to 507 of the family's 1533-position model. The record is from RNAcentral.
CGCUGGCGGCAUGCCUUACACAUGCAAGUCGAACGGCAGCACGGGAGCAAUCCUGGUGGCGAGUGGCGAACGGGUGAGUAAUAUAUCGGAACGUGCCCAGUCGUGGGGGAUAACGCAGCGAAAGCUGUGCUAAUACCGCAUACGAUCUCUGGAUGAAAGCGGGGGACUCAGCAAUGAGCCUCGCGCGAUUGGAGCGGCCGAUAUCAGAUUAGCUAGUUGGUGGGGUAAAAGCCCACCAAGGCGACGAUCUGUAGCUGGUCUGAGAGGACGACCAGCCACACUGGAACUGAGACACGGUCCAGACUCCUACGGGAGGCAGCAGUGGGGAAUUUUGGACAAUGGGCGCAAGCCUGAUCCAGCAAUGCCGCGUGCAGGAUGAAGGCCUUCGGGUUGUAAACUGCUUUUGUACGGAACGAAACGGCUCACUUUAAUACAGUGGGCUAAUGACGGUACCGUAAGAAUAAGCACCGGCUAACUACGUG